This 11778-nucleotide long non-coding RNA is filed under the name Nicotiana tabacum (common tobacco). RNAcentral describes it as "long non-coding RNA (NTAB_LNC005550)". Lineage: Eukaryota; Viridiplantae; Streptophyta; Magnoliopsida; Solanales; Solanaceae. The record is from RNAcentral.
UUUGAUUUCACUAUUUGUAUGUAUUGUUUUGACAAUUCAUUGAUUACGCUUUAUUAGCCAAGUAUUAACCACGUUAGUUACAAGUUUUUGUAUGAUCACAAUUAUCUCAAUUAAAGACCAUCUCUAUAAUGGUAGUCGCACUUGUUCAACUUGAUUGAGAUAAUAGAUGUCCCAUAAUCAAUAAAGAAUUCCGUCAGAGUACUUCAAAGUUCAGAGCAAUUAAGCAUAACAGCACCUGCUAGUCUCUUUCUAGUCCACUAUGUCAAUAAGGUAAACUGUAGCUGCUGCGAAGAAUCAUUUAUUUAUUCCAGUCCUUCACAUUUCCGUUUGGUUCCAUUUCUUUUUGUUCUCCCACUUAUUCUCCAAAUAGAUGAACCAACAUUUCCACUCCUUCGCCGUCUAUCACAACCAUUGCACAUUUUCUUCUGUCACCUUCUCCUCUUUAUCUUUUUGCUCAAUUAUCCAUCCACCUAAAAUUCAAUGAAGUGGCAUAUGUAUACACAGACACACACAGAGAGAGACGGAAAGAGAGAGUUAAGGAAAGUGUUUAAAAGACUUGAAUACAACCUAGAAAAUUUCAGCACGAGGAUAAUACUUCAACUACCACUUAGCAUAAAAUCCUAAGCACGUCAUAUGGAUCUUUGUUAUACUAAAAGCUAUCAAACUAAAGAAUAAAAAAAUUUCUAGUUAAGGGAAGUGUUUAAUGGGGCUUGAAUAUAAAGCAUUUCUUUCCAUUCUGAUAGACUAAAAAAUGGAGAGAACUCCGAAGUGACAUUAUCUGUUUUACAAAACAACACAUCACACAUGAACCAAGGACCACCUACCGUAUCAAUUUGAUAGACUUUACACUGGAAGAAUAGUCAUCCCCCUUCAAAUUCUCUAUAGGUCUGCUAAGUUUAGACUUCCUUUGCACUCUAGAACUUAAAGAUUGUGAUUUUUAACAAAUAUUACAUGUGGAUUAUAGUACAUACCAGAAAACUUAGGCACUAAAUAUGAAUUAAAUCAUUCUGGUGAUUCCAUAUAUACAUAUAUUUCAUAUCUGGUUGAAAUUCACUUCACUGCUUUAAUCAUCUAAUCAUGCAUUGUCACAGCAGAUAUAUUCUCAAAAAGCCACAUGUAACAAACAUUGGGUGUUCAGUUAAGAGAUCGAAAGGGCGACCACGCCUCUCUACAGUGUACACUUCAAUCAGAAGAGACCUAGAGGGCGACCAUGCGUCUCUACAGCUCAAGGGACGCUUCAAUCGGUUAAGAUGCCUAGAGGGUGACCACGAGGCUCUACAGCUCAGGUACAUAUCAAUGUAUUCUUAUUUUCAUUUAAACAGUUACAUUUCCACAAAGCUCCACAAUUUUGGAUUCGAACAAUUACAUCUAUUUGAAGUGAUGAAGUUUUUAGUACAUGUUGGCAUAUCACGAGCAUCAGAAUUUUGCAAUUUGCAUACAUGGUAAAGUGCCAAUAAAGUUUAUCUAUUAACCAAUUGUAGUCCUUCUGCACUUUGACAAGAUUGAUAGGAUGGUAUCUUUUGUGAAACUUUCUUCCCGCCUCCUAAAGAGCUCAACAUGAUCCUUUCUCCAAAUUAAAUUUAUAUACUUCGUUUCACUAGCCACACAGGAUGUCAAAGUAUGUUGUAUUUCAAAAGAGAAUCUGAGUGUAGAUCUUCUUUUCUUUUUUUCUUUUUUGGGAUUAACCAUGGCAUCCGGGCUAGCUUGUGCACCUCGACUAAUUUCACGGGGUACUGCUAUCUCCCACCAGCGCAGGUAUCGGAUAACUCUGUUGACUAAGGCUUGGACACAGAGAAAAAAAUCACCUAGUGCUUUUGCCUCCGUUGGGAUUUGAACCGAGGCCUCAUGAUUCUCAACCCACUGCAUUAACCACUAGGUCACGCCCUUGGGUGCUAAAGUUUGGAUCUUUUUAUCUUUUCCUUUUCAUAAACAAUUAUAGAGGUUUUCAUUUACUGACACAAAGGAGUUGACUGCCCCUUUACAAAGUGAAAACGUAGCUAUACUACUUCAACGGCCACAAGCAGGCUGUCCUUUGCAAAGCAUUUUGAGACUAACCAAACAGCUGGAAACAUCUUCAUGUAUAACUAGUUUUUGCUCCCUCGCAAAACAAAAAGAUUUUGCAUGAACCCAUCACAUAUCUGCUAUUUGCAUCUCUUAAUCAGUUAAUCCUUAAAAACUCUAUAUUUUUUCCCAUCCAAACUCUAUGUUUUUCCCCAUCCACCAACACAUUCAAUGAUCAUUUCACAAAGUUUUUCUCUAGCUCCUAUGCAGUAUUGUUUCCUAGCCAACAAAAGAUACUUGAAACAGACGCAUGAUAGGAAAAACCCCAGCUGAAGAAAUUAUGGACCAGCACCCCAUAUUGAUGGUUAAUGUUUCAGUUUUCUCUUUGUGAUGGUCAACAUGCCAGUAGUGUCGUCAAAUGGAAUAUCCAUCUGAGUGGAGCUUUGAAUUUGCAAACUAUCUUUCCCUGUUGUUUGAGACCAUCUGUGCAAGUGAAGACCUCUGCAUGCACAGUUCAUUGGAGGCAAGCAGUAUGUAUUGCAUGUGAGAAACUCCUGUUGUAUAGUUGUUAAAGAAGCAAUUCCAAAGGCUCCUCUUAAUAAGUAGAGAAUAGAAAUAGAGCAGAAAAAAGAAAACAUAUUGUUUAUAAGUUCAAUUUAAUGUUUCAUAUAUUUUUAAGUUGUCUUCACUCUUCCAGUGUAUCAAGGAAAGAAACAUCAUCAUCCAUGUCUUUUACCUAAACACAGGCCUUUUACUUUCCUUCAUGUGCACAUAGCUGCUGCCAACAUUCUCUCUCUCUCUCUCUCUCUCUGCCAACAUUCUCUCUUUCUUACUUUAUAUGCUCCUUGCACCAUAAAUGUGCAUGCAAGGACUCUGUCGUUUAAGAAUGUGAACAGUACUUUAUGAGGAUGGAUCUUAACUUUUUGUUCAUUACUUUAUGUAGGAUAUGUCUUAGUAGAUGUUAGUAAUCAUGCUAAACUGUCAUGGUUUGUCUACAGUGUUGCCCACAUGUACUAUCUCUUGUAAUAGUUCCUGGUUCCAAAAAAGAUUAUUUUCUUAUUCUUUCUUUUGAUAAAUCAAAGUAACUUUUAAUUCUGAACCUUUAACAAAGAGGAUUUUUUUUGCAUAGGAAAGGAAAAAAGUAGGGAAUGCUCUCGGCGCACGAUAAGCCAAGGGAGGCUAGCGUGCACCAUCGAUGGCAAGGAGACGCAAACAAGCAGCGCCGGUGACUGCUGCUAUAACUCCUGUGACCUUAAGAAUGCAGAAUUUCACUCCGUUAACAUUUGGAAGUUGUCUACCACCUAGUUUCCAACCAAUUCAAGAGGAAAAGGAGCUAAGUGAGGAUGAAGAGGGGAACGGUACUCAAUGGAACAGUAAAAUUGCUAUUACUGCAAAGGAAGCUCAAAAAUCCAAAGAUCAAUUGCCAACCAGUCCAAAACGAUUGCAAUUUUCUGAAGCCGGAUCUUCAAAACCAUCUCCAUCUCCAGAUAUCACAGCCAAAGCAGAGAUAGGGAAGGUCAUGCAUGCAAAGGAGCUAAGACAACAGAACCGGAACUCACAGAUGGGGAUGAGGCUAGAGUAUAUUCCACCAAGUCAUAGAGACGGUAAGAUUGUCAUUCAAAUAGAGGAAGAAGAUGUAAGCGAGCUAAAGGAACACUGGGCGAUUGCUCUAAUUGGGUAUGUACUUAGGGAUACUCCGUAUGAGAAAUCUAUGGAGAGCUAUGUUGAAUCAGUCUGGGAUUUUGUCAAUAGACCUCAGAUCCUGUAUCACCAAGAAGGAUAUUAUGUGUUUCGAUUCACAACAGUGGAGGAAAGAUAAGCAAUCAUGCAAGCUGGGCCUUACUCAUAUCAUAACAAGCCAUUUAUUUUGCAGAACUGGGAGAGAGAUUUCCACUUUGAUCCUAAGUGUAUCACUACUAUCCCCUUGUGGAUUCACUUACCUAGCCUAUCAGCUGGGUAUUGGACUGCUGAUGCAUUAAGCAAGGUGGCUAGUGCUGUAGGUUUACCAUUGUACACUGAUAAAUUUACCGCAGAUUUGAACAAAAUUUCCUAUGCCAGAGUACUUGUGAAAGUUGGCAUCACAAAGCCACUAGUGGAGACUAUUGAGAUUCAAACUCCUACAGGUACUAGACAACAGGAAAUAGUGUAUGAAUGGAGGCCAAAAUUCUGUAAUGAAUGUUUACAUUUUGGUCAUGAUAGCUUUGAAUGCUGGAAUUCAACUAAACAGAAUGAAGAUGCUGAAUUCAAGGCCCCAAAAAGAAGGAAUAGAGGCAGAGGGAGAAAAGUUAUUCGGGAAUAGAAGCCAAAAGAACAGCAGGAACAAGAGGAGGGGAUUGGAGAGGAGAAUGAAGUACAACCUCCACUUGACAAAGACAAGCAGACCUCAGUAGAUAAACCAGACCAAAGGAGCUUGAUGAUAAAAGGAAGGAAAACAGUGAAAGACAGAAUCCUGCAGGUGUUCAGCAGGUGAUAAAUGAUGAGGCUAGCACUUCCAAUAGAUUUUCAAUAUUGGAAGAAUGUGGUGUCCAGGGAGGGGUGAAUAACUCUGAUCCUAUACAAAAACCACCAUGAUUAUCAGCACUUGGAACAUAAGAGGGCUGAACAAGCCCCAUAAACAGAAGGAACUGAGAAUCUUUCUGCAAAAGAAUAAGAUAGAUAUCCUAGGAUGUCUAGAAACUAGAGUAAAAGAAAAAAAGGCAACAAAUAUCUUGUAUAAGGUAGCUAAGGAUUGAGGUUAUUGUUAUAACUAUACUAAGGCUGAGAAUGGGAGAAUAUGGCUGUUAUGGAGAACACAUUUGACAGUAAACAUAAUUCAAGUCCAUGAGCAAUUCAUUCAUCGUCUAGUGAUGGAACCAGUGACUCGAUACAAAAUUAUGUUGGACUGUAGUGUAUGCUAGAAACAAAUUGCAAGAAAGGGCUAGUCUAUGGAAUGAUCUGCAACAGCUAGGGGGGCAGACUCAAAUCCCCUGGCUCAUACGUGGUGAUUUCAACAAUGUCCUAACCACAGAUGAUAGAUUAGGACAACCAGUCACUAUGAAUGAGGUUCAGGAGUUCAAGGAUUGUAUAGAUAAUAUGCAACUGACCCCAUUGAGGACUAAGGGAUGUUUCUUUACUUGGUGUAAUAAGCAAAGUGCAAAUGAUAGAGUAUACAGUAAGAUUGAUUGGGCUUUUGGCAAUUUUGAAUGGACUAAAGAUUAUGGGCAUGUGGAAGCUGAUUGCUUAGAACCUAGAGUGUCAGAUCACUCACCAAUCUUGGUCCAAAUAUGGAGAAGGAAUACUAUAUAUCCCAAGCCAUUCAAGUUGUACAUGGUAACAAUGGAACACAAGGAGUUUAAGCCUACUGUAGAAAGAAUUUGGAAGUAGAAGAUGGAAAAUGAUCCUAUGUCUGGUAUCUGGUUGAAGUUACAAAAGUUGAAAGAUGAGACUAGAGGGUUGAACAAGGAGAUGGCAAGUUAUGAACAGAGAUUGAUCCAGAUUAGACAGAAACUGGAGUGUACACAGGCCAAUUUGAUACUUGAUCCUUUCAACCAAGUAUGGAUGGAUCAGGAAAAGCAAACACUACGGGAUCUAGAGAAAUGGAGCAUCAUAGAGGAGAAAAUACUAAGACAGAAGGCUAGAGUUAAUUGGAUUGAUCAUGGGGAUUCAAACUCCAAGUACUUCUAUGCACAACUGAAGAUCAGAGCAAGCAAGAACACAAUUACCUCUGUAUAUAAUGAAUUGGGAGUUAAGAUCACUGACCCUAAAGCUGUAGAAAAAGAAUUCACUAGCUUUUUCAAACAGCUUAUGGGAAAAGCCACAGGUCUAAAGUCAUGUCCUAAUACCAAAUUCAUCAAAGAAGGAGAGUGCCUCUCAAUGCAACAACAACAAGACCUAAUUCAGGAUAUCACAUAUGCAGAAAUAGAUGAAGCAGUGAAGGACAUGCCAAAUGAUAAAGCCCAUGGAGUCGAUGGAUUCCCAAUAGAAUUCUUCACAAAGCAUUGGCAGGAAGUGAGACAAGAUAUAUAUGAUGAUGUGCUAUUCUUUUUCCAAACAGGCAAGAUGAAGCAGGCAUGGAACUGUACAGCCAUAACUUUGAUCCCUAAAGUUCCAGCUCCUACAACAGUGAAGGACUAUAGGCCUAUUGCUUGUUGCACCACUGUAUACAAAAUCAUUGCUAAGAUACUGACUAAAAGAAUCAAAAAGGUGAUUGAGCUUAUAAUUGGGAAAGCACAGUCUGCUUUUAUAGAAGGGAGGAGUAUUGUUGAUAAUAUCCUAUUCAGACAUGAACUCUUCAAUGGCUAUAAUAGGAAAGUCUUGUCUCCAAGAUGUGUUCUCAAGGUAGACUUAAGGAAAGCUUAUGAUUCACUGGAUUGGCAAUUUAUUAGGUACAUGCUUACUGAUCUUGGCUUCCCUCAGAAAUUCAUCCUAUGGAUAAUGGAAUGUGUGACAACAUAAUCCUACUCGUUGGUUCUAAAUGGGGGACUGGCCAAACAUUUCCCAGCUAAGAGAGGAAUAAGGCAAAGAGAUCCAAUGUCUCCUUAUCUCUUUGUGAUUGCUAUGGAAUAUUUACAAAGGGAGAUGAACCAACUGGCCAUACAAAAGGAGUUCAAAUACUAUCCUAAAUGCAAGAAGCUGGGAGCAACACACAUAUGUUUUGCUGACGAUUUGUUAAUGUUUUACAGGGGUGAUAUAAAUUCAGUUACUAAAUUACAGGAAACUUUUAAUAGAUUCUCAGUUGCAUCAGGGCUGCAAGCAAAUGCAGAAAAGAGUUCCAUAUAUAUUACUGGUAUAGCACAACACAUAAAGGAGCAAUUGAUAGAGCUUACUGGAUAUACAGAGGGCUCUUUAUCAUUUAAGUACCUGGGGGUUCCAUUGUCGCCAAGAAAGCUGAAUAUUCACCAAUGUCUAUCACUGGUAAAAAAGAUAACUGAAAGAGUAAGAUGCUGGUCAGCCAGGUUGCUUUCAUAUUCUGGGAGAAUUCAACUCAUCAAAUCUGUGCUGUUUGGAAUACAAACAUAUUGGGCUCAAAUUUUUUUGUUGCCAAAAAAGAUCAUGAAGAUGAUAAAAAUCAUAUGUAGGACCUUUUUGUGGACUGGCUCAACAGAAUGCUCAAGAAAAGCUUUGAUUGCAUGGGAUAAGUUAUGUCAGCCUAAAGCUACAGGAGGUUUGAAUGUUAUAAACAUGAAGAUAUGGAAUAAAGCAGCACUACUGAAACAUCUCCGGGCAUUGGCUAUGAAGAAAGAUACAUUGUGGAUCAAAUGGGCUCACAAUUAUUAUAUAAAGAACAAAGACAUUGCAGAAAUGGACACACCCAAAGCAGCAGCAUGGGUGAUCAGGAAGAUCAUUGAGGCAAGUGAGGAUGUGAAGCAGAUGAGGUCGGGACAGAAUAGCCUUAUAUCUACAUUGGAGACCUUAGUAAAGCAAGGCAAGUUCCAAAUCCAUAGAGCUUAUGUUCAAAUGCAUCCUCAAUUUCCAAAAGUUAUGUGGAAAAGCAUUCAUUUACAUACACAUAUUCAUCCUAGAUUCAAAUUUCACCUAUGGCUGGCUAUUCAUCAAAGGCUAGCAACAGUAGAUAGACUCAUGAAAUUUGGAAUUCAAGCUCCAUUAGAAUGUGUGUUCUGUGCAACCAACAUGGAAGCUUUUGAGCAUCUAUACUUUGGCUGUCCAAAAACUCACAAACUAUGGGACAGAGUAUUGAAAUGGCUUGGCAUCACAAGACAGAUAGGAAGCUGGCAAGAUGAGCUGAAUUGGAUGAGCAGAUUGGCAAGUAGGAAGAACUGUAAAGCAGAAAUGACUACAGCAACUUUCGCGAUGGUAGUUUACUGUAUUUGGCGCGAAAGGAACUCGAUUAGAUUCAACAAAGGCAGAUAUAACAUGGAUGAAGUAUGCAAGGAAAUUGCUAUGCAUAUACACAUACAAGGGAGAAAGAAGACCAAAUGGCAAAAGGAAUUGGAGAGCUUAAACAAUUUUCCUUAGGCGAGAUAUAGUCACUAUGAAGUAGUGUAGAUCAGUGUUAUGUAUGUAAAUAGUUAAUAGGAGAUUAAUGGUCAGCAUUAAUCUGGAUAUGUAAUGACAGUUUUUUGAUGAAAUAAAAUGUUAGUUUUAUCAAAAAAAAAAAAAGUAACUUUUACUUGUUCCAAAAAGAUUAUAUUGCCUUCACUUUUCUUCUGUCCUAAGCUUUCUAGUUUCUAUUUUAAACCAUUUUCAUAAAUAUAUCAUAUUUUGAAUAUUAUACUCUUCGAAAGUUAUAUGGUAUCUGUAAAAUGUUGACAUCUCUGUUGCACCCACAUCAAAACAAUUCUCCUUGUACCCAAAAAUAAAAGAAAAUUAAGAAGAGUAGUAACUUUUAACUCUACGCUUAGAUCCCCUUGUCUGAGGGUUUUGUUGAGGAAACAAGUAGAUUUUAUUGGUUCGGACCGAUACAGUCCUGGUGGAUCGGGGAGGCUAAGGAAAUUUGAAGUUACAAGCAACGAGAAAAAUAAAUGCAAUAGCUAAAUGGUGACGGGCAAUAUCAGUCACCCAUAAACUUUGCAUUUGUGGAUGGAAUCCCCCCGUAUCAUUUCCAAAAUUUUGCCUAGACAGAUAUGCCUUAUUUACAAGAUGGAAGAUCCGCUGAUAUGGUCUUAUGAACUGAGCACUUCUGGGUUUAGAAGAGAAGAAGGUAAACAAUGACAAAGAGUUGAUUGUUAGUAAACUUGGAGUUUUGGUGGCUGGAUUAAUAUCCAAGUGUAACGGCAAUUCCUAUGGAUGUUAUUUGUAGGUAGUAUUAGAAAAGGAUGCAGUUAAGACCUGGUCUUUUUUUUCAGAAAAUCACUUGCAUGGGAUUUGGUUAAGACCUACUUACAACAUUAGGUUCUCUUUUCCAUAAGCAAAGUAAUUUUCUUAAUAAAACUACACCAGAUAGUGCAGGUAAGACUACAGCGGAGGACUAGUCUGACUCCUUCUAUGACUGCAAGGAAUCAAUAAUCAAGAAUGCCAUCUAUCAUGUUUACGCUUUACAGGACUCAACUUAUACCAAAAAUGAAGAUUUUGAAGACAUUUCUACUUUUAUCACAAGCUAUAGUACCCCCUACUCCAUCAAAACAUCUAUGGUUCCUGAAACACAAAGGGGAAUUGUUCUCAAACCUAGUCUUUGGCCUUGUCAGCUGCAUAAUGUUUCUCUCAAGCUUCCAGGCAUACGCAUAUCCGCCAGAUCUGAUUGUCGUGUAGGAAAAAGUGAUUCACAGUCUCUAUUGAAGAUUUACAAAAUAACACCUGUUAUAUAACCUGAAUCCUCUUCUCAGCAGAUUAUCCUGUGUUAAGCAUGCAUAAUGUAAACCAGUUCAUCCAAAAUAUACCACAUUGGUGGAGCUUUUGUUCUCCAUAACAUUUUCCAAGUCCACUGUACUUCAUUCCGUAGAAUUCAGAUUUGACAGCUGCUCCAAGCAUGAAUUCACUGAAAACUUCCCACCUGCCUUAGCUGUCCAGAACAAUGAAUCAACCACAUCAUCUUGAAUCAACACAGGUUUCAGUUUCUCAAACAAUAGAUUGACCCUUUCAACUUCCCAAUCAUAAAAAAUAUCCUCCUGAACUAUAUAUACCAUCCUCGUGGACUAUAUAUUACAAAUACCUCCUUUGUGCUGAGAAUCAGCAAUAAAGUACCUUCCUCUUCUUUUCCUUUGUCUAUUUUAUCAUUUCAAUUACUGAAAUUCUCUCUGUCAUAGUUCUGCCCCAACUUACAGCGAUUAACACUUCAUGGUAAUUGAGGUCUACUGACUAAAAUCACCCUUCACCGGGUGAAAGUCGUUGGAGCAAAUAAGUACUAUAUGUGAUAUUGGGCAUGGAGAUGUAAGAAAAUAUAGAAUCAAUUUAUCAACUACAUGUCAAUCCCACAGUUGGAAUCGGUUUAGACGAAUCCUCUAUAUCCAUUCUGCUCAAUUCAGUUCCGCAAGGAUUCAUCAUAAACUAAUUUUAUUACUUGCCGUCAAUCUAUCACAACCACCUUUUUUAUCCAGGAUAGGGAGUAGGAACAGGCUAUGCUUUGCAAGCUCAUAUAGACGGAAUUUCCAGAAAAAGAAGUUUAAAAUAAAAAAAAUAAAAAGGUAACUUUCUUUCACUCAGUUCAAACUAACAAAUACACUAUAGUGACUCUGCAUCUGAACUGGCACAGAACAAUAUGAUCUUUAUCAAACUCAAGGGAAUACAAAAAGAAGUUUUAAUUCCUUAAUUGUCAUUAAAAAGAAAAGCUUAUAUACAUUCAUUGAUUUUAAAAUACUUAUCUUAAACACUUAAAUUGACACCUGUCACCAAUCCGACCCUUUUGGGUACGCAUAGAAUAUGAUCAUAGCCACACCCAUAACCUUUGACUUAAACCAUAUAUAUUGUUAAACAAUUUGGGGGGGGGGAAACAAAAACUAACAGCUUGUUUGGAUGGUUGUUCCCCAUUGUAUCGUAUUAUACUGUUAUCACAAAACAAUGUUUGUUUUGAUUGUUUCAUUAAAAUUGGUUGUAUUGUAUUGUUAAAUCUAUUGUUCCGGAACAGUGAAAAGUCCCCUUUUUUGAAAUAACCAAUUUGGUGUGGUGGGAUUGUUUCCUUUUUUUUUCAAUUAUGGCCUUACUUAUUACUCCACAAUUCUAUUUUACCCUUUACCUUUUUUGCUAUUUUAACUCCAAAUCUCCAACCUAUAAUCUGCUUUAUUUUUUUCCAGAACUUCUGCCGCCUUCUGUUUUAUUUUUUCUCCUAAUUUGCUUUUAACUCAAUUCUAAUUAGUUGUGCUCCUUUGUUUUGCCUUUUUCUGUCUCGCUACUUUGUUCUACUUUCUUAAGGUGUUUUGCCUUCUUCUGUUUUGUUUUUUAAAUUAUUUUUAUGCAUAAUUUUUGAUAAAUUUAAUAUUUAAACAAUUGAGGGUAUUUUACUAAACUUAUCAGUUACAAUACAGUACGAUACAAUCAAACCAAACAGCAAAAUAUUUUUUAACAAGAACAAACAAUACAAUAUAUCCAAACAUUGUAUUCAUAAAACGAUACGAUACAAUACAAUACAUUACAAAACGAUGCAGAAGAAUGAUCCAAACAUAGUGUAAGUUCACGCCAAACCCCACAAAUUAGUAGUCCAUGUGGAAAUAUUUUAAAGGCUUUGGACAAGUGUCUAAGCCAUUCUAGAAGGCUAUGCUAAGUGGCAAACUUGAUCAGCCACUUUCUUGCCAUGCACAACAAAUUUACAUGCAAUUACAAUUAUAAAUAGCCAUCAUUUGGCUGCACAAUUCAUCCACCAUCAGAAGUGCUUUUCUACUUGGCCCUUCUUCUCUUUCUCUCUUAGCUUCCCUUAUUUCCAUUUCUUUGUCCUAUUCUCUUUUCAAUAUUGUUGGAUUAUUGUUAUAUAAAUAUUUUGAUGAUUCUCUAAAUAAAAUAGAGGUAAGCUUGUUUAAUCGUGGAGAAACAUUUCACAUUGCUGAAAUAGUUUAUUAGGACAAUGCCCAGUAUGACUCAAGUUAAUUCCUGUAUCUACCUACAAAGAAUAUUGAAACAGUGUUAUUGAAAUUCUUGCUCUCAAUUACUACACUCCAAAUCAUACUCUAUCUUUUUAAUUAGUUGGUAAAACGACAACGUAUUAUACCGAAAAUGCAGACAAGAAGCGAACCGUCGAUGGACCCAUAAUAAUAAUAAUACUUGCUUGAAAUUUGUGUAUGUAGUAUAAUAUAUAUGAGAGGAAAGCAGUACCUGUGAGCUCUUCAAUCUUCUACAGGAUAUAACUCAAUGAAGAAAAACUCUGGGCAUAAUAAGCUAAUUUGAAUUCUUCCUUGGCUAAUUGCCUUUUUC